Molecule: ribosomal RNA, 1341 nt
Filed under: synthetic construct
Also listed under: 1 other name
Description: bacterial SSU rRNA
Rfam family: Bacterial small subunit ribosomal RNA
Source: RNAcentral
GACGAACGCUGGCGGCACGCUUAACACAUGCAAGUCGAACGAAACAAGAUAAGCUUGCUUUUCUGAUCUAUUGGAGGACGGGUGAGUAACACAUGAGCGAUCUGCCUUUCAGAGGGGGAUACCGAUUGGAAACGAUCGUUAAUACCGCGUAACAUAAUUGAACCGCAUGAUUUGAUUAUCACAUAUUUAUCGCUGAAAGAUGACCUCGGCGUCUGAUUAGACUAGUUGGCUAGAGUAACGGCUUACCGGGGCGACGAUCACUAGCCGGACUGACAGGUUGAUCGGCCACAUUGGGACUGACACACGGGCCACACUCCUACGGGAGGCAGCAGUGGGGAAUAUUGCACAAUGGAGGAAACUCUGAUGCACCGAUGCCGCGUGAGGGAAGAAGGUUUUAGGAUUGAAAACCUCUGUUUUCAGGGAAGAAAAAAGACGGUACCUGAGGAGGAAGCUCCGGCUAACUACGUGCCAGCAGCCGCGGUAAUACGUAGGGAGCGAGCGUUGUCCGGAAUUACUGGGUGUAAAGGGAGCGUAGGCGGGAUCGCAAGUCAGAUGUGAAAACUAUGGGCUUAACCCAUAAACUGCAUUUGAAACUGUGGUUCUUGAGUGCAGUAGAGGUAAGCGGAAUUCCUAGUGUAGCGGUGAAAUGCGUAGAUAUUAGGAGGAACAUCAGUGGCGAAGGCGGCUUACUGGGCUGUAACUGACGCUGAGGCUCGAAAGCGUGGGGAGCAAACAGGAUUAGAUACCCUGGUAGUCCACGCCGUAAACGAUGAUUAGUAGGUGUGGGGGGUCUGACCCCUUCCGUGCCGCAGCAAACACAAUAAGUAAUCCACCUGGGGAGUGCGACCGCAAGACUGAAACUCAAAGGAAUUGACGGGGGCCCGCACAAGCACUGGAGUAUUUGGUUUAAUUAGAAGCAACGCGAAGAACCUUUCCAGGUCUUGCCAUCGUAUUCAUAGCUCAGAGAUGAGUGUAAUCUGUUCUGAGACAUAUAGACAGGUGGUGCAUGUUAGUUGUCAUCUCGUGUCGUGAGAUGUUGGGUUAAGUCCCGCACCGAGCGCAACCCUUAUUGUUAGUUGAUACGCAAGAGCACUCUAGCAGGACUGCCGUGGACAAAACGGAGGAAGGUGGGGAUGACGUCAAAUCAUCAUGCCCCUUAUGACUUGGGCCUCACACGUACUACAAUGGCGGUCACCAGAGGGAGGCAAAGACGCGUGGUGGAGCGAACCCCUAAAAACAGUCUUAGUUCGGAUUGUAGGCUGCAACCCGCCUACAUGAAGUCGGAAUUGCUAGUAAUCGCAGAUCAGCAUGUUGCGGUGAAUAAGUUCCCGGGCCUUGCAC